AUGAUCACUGCUGUCUGGAACUGGUCUGCUGUGGACGAACUGAAGAGCUUUCAACAUCCUCAAAGGCAUCUAAUUGUUCAGGACAUACUGAGUAUCUGCACUUACAGAAAUCAAGCCUCAAGUGGAACUCCCCUGAAAGCAAGGCACCAGGAAGCCAAGAUUAGUUUUCAGAAAUUACCAUCACAGAUGGCUUCCUGCAAUACAAAGAAGGCUCCUGGCAAGGCGGUUUGCUGGAUAACAUUCGAAUUGGAUGUGAUGGAAGUAUAACCUUACAGAAACACUCAUUCACCAGCAUUUAUUUCAUUGUGUUCAGUAGCUACUUUUGCACUGGCACUGCUUUCCUCAUUCUGCACUCACAUACUAAUUUCUCUUGCAUGAAUCUUGCCUAACAGUUGUCUGCAACUGGGUGGUCUCUGUGAGAAGUGGUAAU
This 430-nucleotide long non-coding RNA is filed under the name Cairina moschata (Muscovy duck). Its description in RNAcentral is "domestica (muscovy Duck (domestic type)) lncRNA (ENSCMMG00000007087.1)". The record is from RNAcentral. Lineage: Eukaryota; Metazoa; Chordata; Aves; Anseriformes; Anatidae.